Dallia pectoralis (Alaska blackfish) is the source of this 73-nucleotide non-coding RNA. The record is from the annotation of a GenBank genome assembly. Lineage: Eukaryota; Metazoa; Chordata; Actinopteri; Esociformes; Umbridae.
UCUCAGGUGGCCUAGUGGUUAGGGACUAGGGCUUGGGUCUGGAAGGUCCCUGGUUCUAAUCUGUCCUUGAGCA